RNAcentral lists this ribosomal RNA (253 nucleotides) under uncultured bacterium. RNAcentral's name for it is "partial 16S ribosomal RNA". It matches the Rfam family "Bacterial small subunit ribosomal RNA", at positions 524 to 776 of the family's 1533-position model. The record is from RNAcentral.
UACGUAGGAUGCAAGCGUUGUCCGGAAUUAUUGGGCGUAAAGAGCGCGCAGGCGGUUACUCAAGUCAGAUGUGAAAUAUCCGGGCUUAACCCGGAGGGGUCAUUUGAAACUGAGUAACUAGAGUACAGCAGAGGAUAGCGGAAUUCCCGGUGUAGUGGUGAAAUUCGUAGAUAUUGGGAAGAACACCGGUGGCGAAGGCGGCUCACUGGCUCGUAUCUGACGCUCCGGCGCGACAGCGUGGGGAUCAAACAGG